Molecule: long non-coding RNA, 123 nt
Organism: Haliotis rubra (blacklip abalone)
Lineage: Eukaryota; Metazoa; Mollusca; Gastropoda; Lepetellida; Haliotidae
Exons: 3
Source: RefSeq, a predicted model, not a curated record
AUCUAUUAGUCACAUGAUCAUAAGGGGUCCGGGUAUUGAGACGGGUAACCGGGUCCAACUCAUUACCCAACCGUCCCGGGUAUCCGAGUUACCCCUCCCAGCCCUAGUGGACAAUAUUUCAGU